ACUCAGGUGUGCAGAAAAAGGAGCAGGCGCCCCACACCCCUAGCCCCUAGGCGUCGGGCUACCUCGUGCUGGUGGGAAGACCGGAAUGGGGCACGUCAGGGCGGGUUCACUGGGGAAAUAGCGGAGGACGCCUCUUUCCUUCCCAAACCCAUUCCCCAAAGGAGAAGGAAGGAGCGUGUUUCCACCUCUCAGUGACCCUGACUGCCCGUCCCCACCCCAACUCCAGCCUCGUAACGUUUCCGGCAAUUCCGGGACAACCCGAAGGGCAUCAAGGCGGAGGCGCUCAAUUCCCUUCUCAGUGCCUACCACCCCGGCCCCCCGAGGCCGGGGGAAGGCGGCUCCGCGGAUAGACUGACCUGCGAGGUGGCACGGUUUCCAGCAGCGCGUGAUGGCCAGCUCCGAAAUAGGGCUGGAGCCUUCGUGGAAGGCAAGACGUCUCCAGGAAGUCGGAGGCCUCGCCUGGACACCUGCUGCUCUGGGAGCUUGAGCACCCACUCUGGAGCCUCUAGGUGUCGUCUGAGCCAGGGGAGCUGGGAUUAGGAUGGGGACCGAGAAGGGUGCCUCCUUUGCCCAGCCCUGCUAUACCUGGGGCCUCGGCAGAGCUGGGGUUUCCUCACAGCGUGCGUACUUGAGACUGAGGGUCGACGAGUGGAGUCAACUCCCAGCGCUCACGCCCCCCGCUCGCCUAGGACAGCUGGGGUAGCCGAGGCGUAGCCCGUUUGCACAGUCAAGCCAGAGAAUCCGAACGCGCCAUCCCUCCCAUCUGGCUGUUAAGACCAAACAAAGCAAGGCGGGAGGAGUUAGAGUUACCAGCCGAAGGCCACGGAGCUCAUGUGUUUGCUGAAGCAAAAUUUGAAUUCAGGUCACCAGACCAAACACUCUCUACCACCUCCCAGCCACACCAAGUGGGAAACCUCUGAUGGAGGAAAAUCAAAGUCUGAGGCCAGGAAACGUGAAUGUUACUACUGCUCAUUGGAUAAGGCAUGAGGACGGAAUGGACACCCUUUCCAGCUCUAACCACCCUCUCGGAGGCUCCAGAGCCGAAUUGUAUUGGGGUCAUUAAAGACCGAGGAAGGUUUGGAUCCAUCGGAGCCACCGGUGGCUGUGGGACUUCAGGCAAACCUCUUAAACUCCCAGCACUGGUUUUUCUUCUUUGAAAUAUAGCCGGGGAGUGGUCCACACAGACACAUUUGAGUGGCAGGGUCAACUAUCCUGACACAGAGGUCUUCUGCAGGUGGUGAUCGCUCUCAUAGUGUUUCCGUGCUCCACCCCCGCCUGCUAUUUUGUGGCCCUGGCUAAGAUGUCCCACAGCGGAGUUUGUACGACAAAAAAUGUAAAAGACACAGGGAAAGCAAAACAGAGACCGUUUCUGGGAAGACAUGGAUCAGCAACCAAAGAGCAUGCUAUCAAAUUUAACCAAAGAGUCAUCCAGCCCAAGGAACUAGUUUCGCAAACACUUUCUCCUGUUAAUCUAAAUCUAGAAGGAGAGAGAAAGGACUCUCUUCUUGUCAUUCUCACUUCAUUAGACUCGCAGACAGAGAUUCUGGGAAGCUGACAGGGUAAGAAAUCUUACCUUCUGCCAGCUGUACAUCAGAUGUCCCACGGGAUUUCAGCUGAGAUUUCAGUGUCAGAGUGACCGGUAUCCAGUGACUUAAAACACCCUGCUGACUAUGCCAACUGUCAGGGAGCCAGAAUUCCUGUCCCCUCAAAGGCCCUUCUCACUGGACUAAGAAUUAAGUUGACAUGAGACAGAUUAACAAGAGAAAAUCAAAUUUAAUAGUGUAUAAACGGGGAACCCACACAGACACAGAAAUUCCAAAAACAGUCAGGCAAAAGGAGGUAUAUAUGUCUCCUGAACUCAGGAGAAUGGGAUAGGGGUCUGGGACUUCAAAGGGGGAAAAAUGCCUUUGACGGGGCAAUAAGAAAAAAAGCAGAUGUUUGGUAAUUAGGUUUUUGCCCUGAUAUGGAUGGGUCACUCAGAUGAAAUUUAUCUCUGGUAAUAACCAUUAUUCUGGGAAAGACCUUCUCUAAUUUAGAUUCUUCCAUGUAGUUAAGGGAGGAGCAAAAAGUUUCUCUGGAGCUCACAGGAUCUUGAUUACUUUCGGCUCAAAAUAGUCUUAAUGCCAAAGUGGCCCAACUUGGGGCAGCCUCUCCUUGACUAAUAGCACUGGUAAUAGCACCAACCACUGCCCUGUGUCCAACAGGCUUAAAUCUGCUGGGACAAUUAGCCUAGAAAAUUCAUGAGUCAAGAUGUCCAUACGGUGGACUCCACAAAGUCUGAAGAGGAGGGAAAGAUAAAGCCAGAAAGCCAGUAGACUAAAGUGUGUGUACUAUGGCUAUUUAGGGAAUACAAUAAUUUAGACAUAUAUGAAUGUAUUGUUUUUUUCUACGUAUUUAGUCCAAAUGUUUGUUAAGAUGUCUGAAAACAAAUCCAGGCCAUCCCCUGCCCCAUCUUAUUUUUAUCCUAAAGGCAGUGUUACAGGGAUAUCCAAAUGUUUGGAGAGGAAGAUCUUAAAUACACAAAGAUUUCCCAGUUUAUCACCGCAUGCAUGAUGUAAAUAAUCCCUUACAGUGCUGAUCUGGGUAAAGUCCUUUUAACUCUGAAUUAUAAUUCACUUCAGGAUGGGGCCUUAGAUUCCAGACAUUAGUCGCAGAAAAUUGUAGAGAAAAAGCUAUGAUAUUCGUGACCUAGAAAGAGCAGCAACAGCUUCUAAUGUCCACUCAUCCUUGGUGUCAUGUGAUAUGUUUCAGAAACUCACUUAAAAUUGAGAAAAUAAGCCGUUUCUAAUUGUCCUUAAGUAAGGAAAUAGUUCAUUUAUGACUCUAAGAAGAUUAGAGAAUCUUUAGAGUGCUUGUUUAGAAAUUAUGCCAAAUUUUUUUUUCAGCGAUACAAACAUGGUUUUCCCUUUUCCUUAGGAAGGAAAAAAAAAAACCCCAAAACCUUUAAUAAAGCCAAAUAUUAAAAAAAAAAAAGCCUUCACAUGCAAUUACACCAUUCAAGGAUCACUUCUGCUUUGAGUGUGAGAUUUUGCACGUUAUAUUAUGUAACUUUGGAACAGAGGUUUCCUGUCUCAUUCACCAUGCUCUUCCCUCAAUGCUCAGCACAAAGUAGGUGUCAGUAAAUAUGUAUUGAAUGAGUGAAUAAAUGAUAUGCCACUGAUCUGUA
Molecule: long non-coding RNA, 3166 nt
Organism: Suricata suricatta (meerkat)
Lineage: Eukaryota; Metazoa; Chordata; Mammalia; Carnivora; Herpestidae
Exons: 4
Source: RefSeq, a predicted model, not a curated record